UACGGAGGGUGCAAGCGUUGUCCGGAUUUAUUGGGUUUAAAGGGUGCGUAGGCGGCUUAUUAAGUCAGUGUUUAAAGUCUGCAGCUUAACUGUAGGAAUGGCAUUGAUACUGAUGAGCUUGAGUAAAGUUGAGGUAGGCGGAAUUGAUGGUGUAGCGGUGAAAUGCAUAGAUAUCAUCAAGAACAUCGAUUGCGAAGGCAGCUUACUAAGCUUUAACUGACGCUGAGGCACGAAAGCGUGGGGAUCAAACAGG
RNAcentral lists this ribosomal RNA (253 nucleotides) under uncultured bacterium. RNAcentral describes it as "partial 16S ribosomal RNA". It matches the Rfam family "Bacterial small subunit ribosomal RNA", at positions 524 to 776 of the family's 1533-position model. The record is from RNAcentral.